This is a long non-coding RNA of Humulus lupulus (European hop), 1322 nucleotides long. RefSeq lists it as uncharacterized. The transcript is spliced from 3 exons. NCBI's taxonomy places the organism in Eukaryota, Viridiplantae, Streptophyta, Magnoliopsida, Rosales, Cannabaceae. The record is from RefSeq and is a predicted model, not a curated record.
UCUUUGUUUAAAAAAUUUCCCCAAUCGUGACCCCUUCCUCCUCCUCCGUUCAACCUCGCGCACAUCACCUCCUCAGUGGCGGCGCCCCCCACCUCCGUUCGACAACUUGGGGCCCACGACAAUUGCUCAGCCUCCAUUCAACCUCAGGACAGCAACCCAUCCAUCGUUCAACCACAACAACCCGUUCGACUAGAGUUAGCCUUUCUCCUCCAGCAUCUGGUUUUUUCCUUCUCCCUACGCACAACGAAAGUCCGGCAACAACACCUCUGGCACUCUACAGAUUCCCUAGGAACUGAUGAUGAUCUUCCUCCAUCACAUCAAAACAGAAUCCCUAGAGCAGGUCGUGUUGCAGGGAAUUGAAGAUCUGCUAUGUGCUCUCUCCCAUACUCUAGGAUGUAUGGUGAAACUGACAUGGAGGCCCAGAUUCACCAACUUGAGCAAGAAGCAUACAGUUCGGUUCUAAGAGCCUUUAAAGCUCAAGCUAAUCUCAUUACUUGGAUACAUUUUGUCAUUUUAUUGUCAUGGAUCUAAUAUUUAUGUUUUUCUUAUCAGGUUUAAAUGACCGCUACAUGAAAUGUAUUUUCUUCAGGAAAAAGAAAGUUUAAUAACUGAGCUAAGAAAAGAGUUGAGAUUAUCUAAUGAGGAAAAUAGAGAGCUUCUAGGACGAGUUAAUGCAGACGACAUCAUAAAGAGAAUAAGGGAGUGGAGACAAGCAGGUGGAGCUCAAGCUGGUAUGCCCAGCACAAGUCAAGAUGUUCAUGAUCCAAUUCCUAGCCCCAGAGUCUCUGCAUCUCGCAAGAAGACAAAAGUCUCCACAACAACUUCCCACUACUCAAGAAGAGGCAGGAUCAAGUAUGGCUAGUAAGUUGCCGAUUAUCUUCAAGGUUCCCAUUGGAAUUCCCAUGUUUUUGAAGAUACUUCUGGGUUCAGUUAAGUACGUAGAGCCAGGAUUCAUGAUUGACAUUCUUAUGGAGACUAAUAUUAUGGGCGAACAAUAUAGCUUAUAUAUCUCGCAUGAGGAUAUAGUACACUUUGGACUUAUGGAAGAAAUCGAUGCGUCUUGCAUUCCAUUUCAUAUAUCAGGUAAAUUUUAAAUUAAUAAACAUUAUAUAAUUUAGUUUUUUUUAAUAUAAAUAUAAUAUCAUUAAUUUUCAUGUAUGUAGUAUAAUAUAUUCUGAGUUGUGCGAUAGAGAGAUAUCACAGUUUUUUGGUUUCAUUGAGCUAUCGUGGUCAUCGAGAAUUGGGGCAAAUAUGGAUAAUUGGGCUAUCUAAGAGUGUAUCAAUAACACAGUGAUGGGUCAAACUUGGUUAAUGCCAUACCA